RNAcentral lists this ribosomal RNA (492 nucleotides) under uncultured bacterium. RNAcentral describes it as "partial 16S ribosomal RNA". It matches the Rfam family "Bacterial small subunit ribosomal RNA", at positions 29 to 507 of the family's 1533-position model. The record is from RNAcentral.
AGUGAACGCUGGCGGUAGGCCUAACACAUGCAAGUCGAACGGCAGCACAGUAAGAGCUUGCUCUUACGGGUGGCGAGUGGCGGACGGGUUAGGAAUACAUCGGAAUCUACUUUUUCGUGGGGGAUAACGUAGGGAAACUUACGCUAAUACCGCAUACGACCUACGGGUGAAAGCAGGGGAUCUUCGGACCUUGCGCGAUUGAAUGAGCCGAUGUCGGAUUAGCUAGUUGGCGGGGUAAAGGCCCACCAAGGCGACGAUCCGUAGCUGGUCUGAGAGGAUGAUGAGCCACACUGGAACUGAGACACGGUCCAGACUCCUACGGGAGGCAGCAGUGGGGAAUAUUGGACAAUGGGCGCAAGCCUGAUCCAGCCAUACCGCGUGGGUGAAGAAGGCCUUCGGGUUGUAAAGCCCUUUUGUUGGGAAAGAAAAGCAGCAGGUUAAUACCCCGCUGUUCUGACGGUACCCAAAGAAUAAGCACCGGCUAACUUCGUG